CAACCUCAACUCAUAUGGGACUACGCCCUGAAUUUAAGCAUAUUAAUUAGGGGAGGAAAAGAAACUAACAAGGAUUUUCUUAGUAGCGGCGAGCGAAAAGAAAAUAGUUCAGCACUAAGUCACUUUGUCUUUAUGGCAAAUGUGAGAUGCAGUGUAUGGAGCAUCAAUAUUCUAGUAUGAGAAAUUAAUGAUUUAAGUCCUUCUUAAAUGAGGCCAUUUACCCAUAGAGGGUGCCAGGCCCGUAUAACGUUAAUGAUUACUAGAUGGUGUUUCCAAAGAGUCGUGUUGCUUGAUAGUGCAGCACUAAGUGGGUGGUAAACUCCAUCUAAAACUAAAUAUAACCAUGAGACCGAUAGUAAACAAGUACCGUGAGGGAAAGUUGAAAAGAACUCUGAAUAGAGAGUUAAAUAGUACGUGAAACUGCUUAGAGGUUAAGCCCGAUGAACCUGAAUAUCCAUUAUGGAAAAUUCAUCAUUAGAGUUUUAAUAUUUUAAUAAUAUUAUAAUAAUAGUGUGCAUUUUUUCCAUAUAAGGACAUUGUAAUCUAUUAACAUAAACCAAAUUUAUCAUAAAAUAUGACUUAUAGUUUAUUUAAAUUAUUUUGCUUGCAUU
Molecule: non-coding RNA, 611 nt
Filed under: Drosophila willistoni
Lineage: Eukaryota; Metazoa; Arthropoda; Insecta; Diptera; Drosophilidae
Description: Eukaryotic large subunit ribosomal RNA
Rfam family: Eukaryotic large subunit ribosomal RNA
Source: Rfam by way of RNAcentral